This 419-nucleotide ribosomal RNA is filed under the name soil fungal sp. DM2-061. RNAcentral's name for it is "eukaryotic LSU rRNA". It matches the Rfam family "Eukaryotic large subunit ribosomal RNA", at positions 100 to 529 of the family's 3401-position model. The record is from RNAcentral. Lineage: Eukaryota; Fungi.
GGCAACAGCUCAAUUUGAAAUCUGGCCCCUAGGGUCCGAGUUGUAAUUUGUAGAGGAUGCUUUUGGUGAGGUGCCNCCCGAGUUCCCUGGAACGGGACGCCGCAGAGGGUGAGAGCCCCGUCUGGCUGGCCACCGAGCCUCUGUAAAGCUCCUUCGACGAGUCGAGUAGUUUGGGAAUGCUGCUCAAAAUGGGAGGUAUAUGUCUUCUAAAGCUAAAUAUUGGCCAGAGACCGAUAGCGCACAAUUAGAGUGAUCGAAAGAUGAAAAGCACCUUGAAAAGAGGGUUAAACAGUACGUGAAAUUGUUGAAAGGGAAGCGCUUGUGACCAGACUUGGGCGCGGNNAAUCAUCCGGGGUUCUCUCCGGUGCAUUUCNCCGUGUUCAGGCCAGCUUCAGGUCAGCGCGGGGGAAAAAGGCUUC